UACAGCGACGACUCCUACAUCAUAUCAGCUGAAUGGACGCCAGAGUCCAGUACACAGGUAUGAAAAUAACAGAAACAUAACCUCGACGGAGUCAUCAAGCGAAUGGUACAAAAUCAAUUUAUCCAAUCGUACGAUGACAGUGCCGUGCGACUAAUUAGAAGACAAAAGCGGAUAACACUUAAUCGUUUGCAGAACGGUAUAAGAAUCGACGAGCGUUUCUGUUGACAAACCAUACGAAUCGCAUGUGGAUAGGUGUGCAUCAUUCGAAAAAUCAAACAAAGCAAGGUCCACCGAGUCGGAUAAUUUAUAUAUUGUAAAAUAGGCGUGAUUACCUUGCCCUGCUCCGUGGACUCAAACAUUUCAGACAUAUUGGUUCUGCGUAAAUUAGCAGGCUGAUCGAAUUACGGCUGACUUCGACGCAUCCCUUCUACUGUACUGCAAGUACUACUUCGUACUCUCUUGCUCCGCUCUAUUGUCCGUUGACUCACUCGUGGCUAUCAUGCAACUGCGUUCUCCCGCUUACCAGUCACGUUGUCACUUUUUCCCGUUUAUUUUGGUCGUGCUAAUUAACCGAGGUGUUACUCAGCUAAUUUAGGUGAAUAUUCAAUGAGCCUUUCAAGCAUUAACCAUCCCACGACACUGUCAGUUCUCUAGAGGCAACCAACCAUCGACACUCGAUACUCAACGGACGUGAAGCACGUAUCUACAGUGGGCAUCGAAUUCGUGGCAAUCACUACACAUUUACAGAAAGAUAAUAUCAGCCUGAGGGGGGGAGGGGAUCCGGUGUAAUACAUUAAUAAUUAAAUUAUCAUGAAAUUUUGUCUAUUUUCAUGCAAACAAUCGAGUUCAUUGACAGUUUUUAGGGUAGUUUCAUGAUGUUAGGGUGUAUCCACCCCUAUGAGAGAUACAAAAAGUGAGAGGUAUAUGACAAUUCUUGUUAACGUUUUCGGUGGGUGCUUGUUACAUAAUUUAUAUUUUACGUUAUAAUCUUAAUCUAAUCUCUAAUAAUUCUUUUUAUCGCUUGUUUUAAAGAAUUGUCGGUGCAAAUAUGAAUAUCGUGCUGAUCCGAAUGGGUCAUUUAAGCACAAGCGGUCCAGUUGCACGAUGCAAUGCGUCCAUUUCCUAAUUUUAUGAAUUUCUGCGCGUGUUGGCGGUGUUUUCUGAAACUAUGACAACCUAGAAUUCCGCGAUUAGUUCAACGAGCAAGUCCGAAGUAUGUGAAUAGGCGCUGGAUUACCUUGAGAACACCUGCAAAAUAGCGGUUAGCAUGGAGGGGUGGAUCUGCUCUUGGAAUUGAACGAUUGCCCAAGCAGGUCGUGCGUGUCGUCGCAUGUGGAAACGAAUGCAGUUUGAUAUUACCGUCUUUCCUUCGAAAUUCCGACACCGUAUUACACGCUGUUAACGCGUUCGCCGCUGCAUCGAUCGUUAAUAAGCGACACAAUUCUCUGUGCAAGUUCAAAAAUCAAUUUCUAUCGAUCUGAUCAAUUACAACCCGUUGAAUAGAUUAUUGAUCGUUCAACUCGCGAUCCUCUUGAA
This is a long non-coding RNA of Megalopta genalis, 1536 nucleotides long. RefSeq lists it as uncharacterized. The record is from RefSeq and is a predicted model, not a curated record. NCBI's taxonomy places the organism in Eukaryota, Metazoa, Arthropoda, Insecta, Hymenoptera, Halictidae.